UACGUAGGGGGCAAGCGUUAUCCGGAUUUACUGGGUGUAAAGGGAGCGCAGACGGCAGUGCAAGUCUGAUGUGAAAGCCCGGGGCUCAACCCCGGAACUGCAUUGGAAACUGCACAGCUUGAGUGUCGGAGGGGUAAGCGGAAUUCCUAGUGUAGCGGUGAAAUGCGUAGAUAUUAGGAGGAACACCGGUGGCGAAGGCGGCUUACUGGACGAUCACUGACGUUGAGGCUCGAAAGCGUGGGGAGCAAACAGGAUUAGAUACCCGGGUAGUCCCUGA
Molecule: ribosomal RNA, 277 nt
Filed under: uncultured prokaryote
Description: partial 16S ribosomal RNA
Rfam family: Bacterial small subunit ribosomal RNA
Source: RNAcentral